GACCUGCCAUCUUGUUGGGACUUAUGAUAGAGAGACUGUAUCAUGCAUUAACUGCAUCUAGAGGUUCAUCUUUUAUUAUGUCGGAUUGUCACUACAUACUGCUAGGUGUCACUGAUAGAUUGUGAGACUCAUAAGGAUCAUCUUGAUGAUCAAUGAUCCUUGAUGGGUAGAAUUGGAAUUAUUCUAACUCAUUGAAAAGAGUUUAAUAAUAUUGUGAUAGAGAUCAUAAUA
Molecule: long non-coding RNA, 231 nt
Filed under: Elaeis guineensis (African oil palm)
Lineage: Eukaryota; Viridiplantae; Streptophyta; Magnoliopsida; Arecales; Arecaceae
Description: long non-coding RNA (EGUI_LNC002911)
Source: RNAcentral